RNAcentral lists this ribosomal RNA (469 nucleotides) under uncultured bacterium. Its description in RNAcentral is "partial 16S ribosomal RNA". It matches the Rfam family "Bacterial small subunit ribosomal RNA", at positions 27 to 507 of the family's 1533-position model. The record is from RNAcentral.
GGACGAAUGCUGGCGGCGUGCUUAACACAUGCAAGUCGAACGGAAAGGCCCUGCUUUUGUGGGGUGCUCGAGUGGCGAACGGGUGAGUAACACGUGAGUAACCUGCCCUUGACUUUGGGAUAACUUCAGGAAACUGGGGCUAAUACCGGAUAGGAGCUCCUGCUGCAUGGUGGGGGUUGGAAAGUUUCGGCGGUUGGGGAUGGACUCGCGGCUUAUCAGCUUGUUGGUGGGGUAGUGGCUUACCAAGGCUUUGACGGGUAGCCGGCCUGAGAGGGUGACCGGCCACAUUGGGACUGAGAUACGGCCCAGACUCCUACGGGAGGCAGCAGUGGGGAAUAUUGCACAAUGGGCGGAAGCCUGAUGCAGCAACGCCGCGUGCGGGAUGACGGCCUUCGGGUUGUAAACCGCUUUCGCCUGUGACGAAGCGUGAGUGACGGUAAUGGGUAAAGAAGCACCGGCUAACUACGUG